AUGCCGCGUGUGUGAAGAAGGCCUUUUGGUUUGUAAAGCACUUUAAGCGAGGAGGAGGCUACUUGGAUUAAUACUCUAGGAUAGUGGACGUUACUCGCAGAAUAAGCACCGGCUAACUCUGUGCCAGCAGCCGCGGUAAUACAGAGGGUGCGAGCGUUAAUCGGAUUUACUGGGCGUAAAGCGUGCGUAGGCGGCUUCUUAAGUCGGAUGUGAAAUCCCUGAGCUUAACUUAGGAAUUGCAUUCGAUACUGGGAAGCUGGAGUAUGGGAGAGGAUGGUAGAAUUCCUGGUGUAGCGGUGAAAUGCGUAGAGAUCUGGAGGAAUACCGAUGGCGAAGGCAGCCAUCGGGCCUAAUACUGACGCUAAGGUACGAAAGCAUGGGGAGCAAACAGGAUUAGAUACCCUGGUAGUCCAUGCCGUACACGAUGUCUACUAGCCGUUGGGGCCUUUGAGGCUUUAGUGGCGCACCUAACGCGGUAAGUAGACCGCCUGGGGAGUACGGUCGCAAGACUAAAACUCGUAUGAAUUGACGGGGGCCCGCACAAGCGGUGGAGCAUGUGGUUUAAUUCGAUGCAACGCGAAGAACCUUACCUGGUCUUGACAUAAUAACAACUUUGCCGAGAUGGAUUGGUGACUUCGGGAACUUACAGACCGGUGCUGGAUGGCUGUCGUCAGCUCGUGUCGUGAGAUGUUGCGUUAACGUCCCGCAACGAGCGCAACCGCUUUUCCUUAUUUGCCAUCUUCCUUAAGCAUGGAUACUUUAAUGAUACUGCCACUGAGAAACUUGGACGACCGCGCCCACAACCUCGAGUCAUCAUGUCCCAUUGCGACUCCGGACUACACACGUACGACAAUGAUAUCUACAAU
RNAcentral lists this ribosomal RNA (866 nucleotides) under Acinetobacter sp. RNAcentral describes it as "bacterial SSU rRNA". It matches the Rfam family "Bacterial small subunit ribosomal RNA", at positions 394 to 1243 of the family's 1533-position model. The record is from RNAcentral. Lineage: Bacteria; Pseudomonadati; Pseudomonadota; Gammaproteobacteria; Moraxellales; Moraxellaceae.